GUGGCCGUCGAUCUGGAGCUACACACUGGUUUGUCGUUUCUCUGUUGGUUUGCUUGAGUUGUGUUUUGGUUUUGCGUGCUGGCGUUUCAUAGGUGUGCAGCCAAAGCUGCAAUCAUGACUGGAAUUAUUUUGCUUGGGAAUUAGCAGAAGGGGACAACACGGGACAAGGGGCCUGGUGUCAGCAUUCGUGUCCUGUUCUACCCCAACCCGGAGCAUGGCGACGACGGUCUCUUCUGUGGCGCUUUCUAUCCCCAUCAGCCUUGCGGCCAGGAGCAGCAGCUUGAGGUAUGCCAGUUUACUCGACUCGUCAGCCGUGGAGAUGACGAGGUCAUGGCAUAU
This is a long non-coding RNA of Lolium rigidum, 339 nucleotides long. RefSeq lists it as uncharacterized. Lineage: Eukaryota; Viridiplantae; Streptophyta; Magnoliopsida; Poales; Poaceae. The transcript has 3 exons. The record is from RefSeq and is a predicted model, not a curated record.